This 440-nucleotide ribosomal RNA is filed under the name uncultured bacterium. Its description in RNAcentral is "partial 16S ribosomal RNA". It matches the Rfam family "Bacterial small subunit ribosomal RNA", at positions 338 to 795 of the family's 1533-position model. The record is from RNAcentral.
CCUACGGGAGGCAGCAGUGGGGGAUAUUGCACAAUGGGGGAAACCCUGAUGCAGCGACGCCGCGUGAGUGAAGAAGUAUUUCGGUAUGUAAAGCUCUAUCAGCAGGGAAGAAAAUGACAGUACCUGACCAAGAAGCCCCGGCUAACUACGUGCCAGCAGCCGCGGUAAUACGUAGGGGGCAAGCGUUAUCCGGAUUUACUGGGUGUAAAGGGAGCGUAGACGGUUAUGUAAGUCUGGAGUGAAAGCCCGGGGCCCAACCCCGGGACUGCUUUGGAAACUGGGUAACUGGAGUGCAGGAGGGGCAGGCGGAAUUCCUGGUGUAGCGGUGAAAUGCGUAGAUAUCAGGAGGAACACCGGCGGCGAAGGCGGCCUGCUGGACUGAAACUGACGUUGAGGCUCGAAAGCGUGGGGAGCAAACAGGAUUAGAUACCCUUGUAGUC